RNAcentral lists this ribosomal RNA (550 nucleotides) under uncultured bacterium. Its description in RNAcentral is "bacterial SSU rRNA". It matches the Rfam family "Bacterial small subunit ribosomal RNA", at positions 355 to 896 of the family's 1533-position model. The record is from RNAcentral.
UAGGGAAUCUUCGGCAAUGGACGGAAGUCUGACCGAGCAACGCCGCGUGAGUGAAGAAGGUUUUCGGAUCGUAAAGCUCUGUUGUAAGAGAAGAACGAGUGUGAGAGUGGAAAGUUCACACUGUGACGGUAUCUUACCAGAAAGGGACGGCUAACUACGUGCCAGCAGCCGCGGUAAUACGUAGGUCCCGAGCGUUGUCCGGAUUUAUUGGGCGUAAAGCGAGCGCAGGCGGUUAGAUAAGUCUGAAGUUAAAGGCUGUGGCUUAACCAUAGUAUGCUUUGGAAACUGUUUAACUUGAGUGCAAGAGGGGAGAGUGGAAUUCCAUGUGUAGCGGUGAAAUGCGUAGAUAUAUGGAGGAACACCGGUGGCGAAAGCGGCUCUCUGGCUUGUAACUGACGCUGAGGCUCGAAAGCGUGGGGAGCAAACAGGAUUAGAUACCCUGGUAGUCCACGCCGUAAACGAUGAGUGCUAGGUGUUAGACCCUUUCCGGGGUUUAGUGCCGUAGCUAACGCAUUAAGCACUCCGCCUGGGGAGUACGACCGCAAGGUUG